AUUCACAUAUGUGUGAAAGUGAUCACCCAUAUGUGAAGGUGAUCACUCACAUAUGGGUGAAUGGCCUUCACCCAUAUGUGAUCACUUUCACCUAUGGGUGAAU
Molecule: microRNA precursor, 103 nt
Filed under: Melampsora larici-populina 98AG31
Lineage: Eukaryota; Fungi; Basidiomycota; Pucciniomycetes; Pucciniales; Melampsoraceae
Description: microRNA MIR807
Source: RNAcentral